RNAcentral lists this ribosomal RNA (492 nucleotides) under uncultured bacterium. RNAcentral's name for it is "partial 16S ribosomal RNA". It matches the Rfam family "Bacterial small subunit ribosomal RNA", at positions 29 to 507 of the family's 1533-position model. The record is from RNAcentral.
AGUGAACGCUGGCGGUAGGCCUAACACAUGCAAGUCGAACGGCAGCACAGUAAGAGCUUGCUCUUACGGGUGGCGAGUGGCGGACGGGUGAGGAAUACAUCGGAAUCUACUUUUUCGUGGGGGAUAACGUAGGGAAACUUACGCUAAUACCGCAUACGACCUACGGGUGAAAGCAGGGGAUCUUCGGACCUUGCGCGAUUGAAUGAGCCGAUGUCGGAUUAGCUAGUUGGCGGGGUAAAGGCCCACCAAGGCGACGAUCCGUAGCUGGUCUGAGAGGAUGCACAGCCACACUGGGAAUUAGACACGGUCCAGAAUCCGACGGGAGGCAAGAGUGGGGAAUAUUUGACAAUUGGCCCAAGCCUGAUCCAGCCAUACCGCGUGGGUGAAGAAGGCCUUCGGGUUGUAAAGCCCUUUUGUUGGGAAAGAAAAGCAGCAGGUUAAUACCCCGCUGUUCUGACGGUACCCAAAGAAUAAGCACCGGCUAACUUCGUG